This 77-nucleotide transfer RNA is filed under the name Candidatus Omnitrophota bacterium. RNAcentral describes it as "tRNA-Val". It matches the Rfam family "tRNA". Rfam says of the family: Transfer RNA (tRNA) molecules are approximately 80 nucleotides in length. Their secondary structure includes four short double-helical elements and three loops (D, anti-codon, and T loops). Further hydrogen bonds mediate the characteristic L-shaped molecular structure. tRNAs have two regions of fundamental functional importance: the anti-codon, which is responsible for specific mRNA codon recognition, and the 3' end, to which the tRNAs corresponding amino acid is attached (by aminoacyl-tRNA synthetases). tRNAs cope with the degeneracy of the genetic code in two manners: having more than one tRNA (with a specific anti-codon) for a particular amino acid; and 'wobble' base-pairing, i.e. permitting non-standard base-pairing at the 3rd anti-codon position. The record is from RNAcentral. Lineage: Bacteria; Pseudomonadati; Candidatus Omnitrophota.
GGGCGAUUAGCUCAGUUGGUUAGAGCGUUGCGUUCACAUCGCAAAUGUCGGAGGUUCGAGUCCUCUAUCGCCCACCA